This 468-nucleotide ribosomal RNA is filed under the name uncultured bacterium. Its description in RNAcentral is "bacterial SSU rRNA". It matches the Rfam family "Bacterial small subunit ribosomal RNA", at positions 28 to 507 of the family's 1533-position model. The record is from RNAcentral.
GAUGAACGCUGGCGGCGUGCUUAACACAUGCAAGUCGAACGGACUUUACAUGAAGCCUAGCGAAUGUAAAGUUAGUGGCGGACGGGUGAGUAACGCGUGAAUAACCUGCCUUAUACUGGGGGACAACAGUUGGAAACGACUGCUAAUACCGCAUAAGCGCACGGAGCUGCAUGGCUCAGUGUGAAAAACUCCGGUGGUAUAAGAUGGUCUCGCGUCUGAUUAGCUAGAUGGCGGGGUAACGGCCCACCAAGGCGACGAUCAGUAGCCGGCCUGAGAGGGUGAACGGCCACAUUGGGACUGAGACACGGCCCAAACUCCUACGGGAGGCAGCAGUGGGGAAUAUUGCACAAUGGGGGAAACCCUGAUGCAGCAACGCCGCGUGAGUGAGGAAGUAUUUCGGUAUGUAAAGCUCUAUCAGCAGGGAAGAAAAUGACGGUACCUGACUAAGAAGCUCCGGCUAAAUACGUG